Non-coding RNA from Podarcis lilfordi (Lilford's wall lizard), 69 nucleotides. NCBI's taxonomy places the organism in Eukaryota, Metazoa, Chordata, Lepidosauria, Squamata, Lacertidae. The record is from the annotation of a GenBank genome assembly.
GGUGGCACAAUUGGUCAGUGCAGCUGGCUGUUAACCAGAAAGUUCAUGGUUUGAGCCCACCCAGGGACA